UACGAAGGGGGCUAGCGUUGCUCGGAAUUACUGGGCGUAAAGGGAGCGUAGGCGGAUAGUUCAGUCAGAGGUGAAAGCCCCAGGGCUCAACCUUGGAAUUGCCUUUGAUACUGGCUGUCUUGAGUAUGGGAGAGGUUAGCGGAACUCCGAGUGUAGAGGUGAAAUUGUAGAUAUUACGGAAGAACACCAGUGGCGAAGGCG
This 201-nucleotide ribosomal RNA is filed under the name uncultured bacterium. RNAcentral describes it as "partial 16S ribosomal RNA". It matches the Rfam family "Bacterial small subunit ribosomal RNA", at positions 524 to 723 of the family's 1533-position model. The record is from RNAcentral.